AUUGAACGCUGGCGGCAGGCCUAACACAUGCAAGUCGAGCGCGAAAGUUCUUCGGAAUGAGUAAAGCGGCGGACGGGUGAGUAAUACAUGGGAAUCUGCCUGGUAGUGGGGGACAACGUUUCGAAAGGAACGCUAAUACCGCAUACGCCCUACGGGGAAAAGGGGGGGAUCUUCGGACCUCUCGCUAUCAGAUGAGCCCA
RNAcentral lists this ribosomal RNA (200 nucleotides) under uncultured bacterium. RNAcentral's name for it is "partial 16S ribosomal RNA". It matches the Rfam family "Bacterial small subunit ribosomal RNA", at positions 30 to 233 of the family's 1533-position model. The record is from RNAcentral.